UAGUAGACCAUUGCUCACUAACGGCCGUCUCCCUCUCUUCUGGGCCCAGCUCUCCAUGAAUGAUGAGAGUGAGAACCAGACCACCUGGCUGACCCUCGUGGGCUUCGGGAAACUGGAACACCUGGGCUUCCUCCCCUUUGCUCUCUUUCUAGCCAUCUAUGUGGCAACGGUUGGUGGCAAUAUCCUCAUUGUGCUUGCUGUGGCCUCCAGUCGGACCCUCCACACACCCAUGUACUUCUUUCUCUGCCAUUUCUCCCUGCUGGAGAUUAGUUAUACAUCCAACAUCGUGCCUCGGCUGUUACAGAGCUUCCUGGAAGGUGGGGACAUCAUCUCAUUGGUCGGCUGCCUCGCCCAGUUCUACGUGUUUGCCUCACUGGCUGCAGCGGAGUGUCUCAUGCUCUCGGCCAUGUCCUAUGACCGUUACUUGGCCAUUUGCCAUCCCCUCCAUUACCCGGUUCUCAUGAGCACCUGGUGCUGCGGCUGCCUAGCCACGGGUGCUUGGUUCAGCGGCUUCUUCUUCUCUGCCUGCACUCUGGCCUUGGCAGCCCCUCUGUCCCUCUGUCCCGGCCGCAGGGUGAUUGAUCACUACUUCUGUGACUUUGCUCCGGUUGUAGGGCUGUUCUGUGGAGAGGUGUGGGUCAUGUGGGGGGCUGGCGUGAGCAUCUCGGGUUGCCUCACGCUUGCGCCCUUCCUGUUGAUUGUCACGUCCUACCUCUUCAUCCUGAAGGUGGUGCUGAGAAUCCCUUCAGGCCCGGGAGACAGAAAGCGUUCUCCACCUGCUCCUCCCACCUCAGUGUGGUUGCCGUGUUUUACGGCACUCUCAUUGUGGUCUACGUGGCCCCGACAGACCACAUGCCCACCCUGCUCCGGAAGGCCUUCUCCGUCCUCUACACAGUACUCACCCCCAUGGUCAACCCCAUCAUCUAUAGUCUCAAGAAUCAAGAGGUAAAAUGGGCUCUGCAUAGGCUCUGGAGGCAGCUCCUCUGAGGACACGACCGCUGUGGUGUACAGGGCAGCUAUAACUUCUUUGAUUUUUACCUUAGCCCCUUCCUCAAAGUCAGAUGGAGAAAGAAGGCCGUUGUGUUGAAAAGACGAGACAAUGGAUUGA
Molecule: RNA transcript, 1108 nt
Organism: Mastomys coucha (southern multimammate mouse)
Lineage: Eukaryota; Metazoa; Chordata; Mammalia; Rodentia; Muridae
Gene name: olfactory receptor 11A1-like
Exons: 1
Source: RefSeq, a predicted model, not a curated record